UACGGGGGGAGCAAGCGUUGUUCGGAUUUACUGGGCGUAAAGGGCGCGUAGGCGGCCAGCGCAAGUCAGUUGUGAAAUCUCCUGGCUUAACUCGGAACGGUCAACUGAUACUGCGCGGCUAGAGUGCAGAAGGGGCAACUGGAAUUCUCGGUGUAGCGGUGAAAUGCGUAGAUAUCGAGAGGAACACCUGCGGCGAAGGCGGGUUGCUGGGCUGACACUGACGCUGAUGCGCGAAAGCUAGGGGAGCGAACAGG
RNAcentral lists this ribosomal RNA (254 nucleotides) under uncultured bacterium. RNAcentral's name for it is "partial 16S ribosomal RNA". It matches the Rfam family "Bacterial small subunit ribosomal RNA", at positions 524 to 776 of the family's 1533-position model. The record is from RNAcentral.